This 554-nucleotide ribosomal RNA is filed under the name uncultured bacterium. RNAcentral describes it as "partial 16S ribosomal RNA". It matches the Rfam family "Bacterial small subunit ribosomal RNA", at positions 355 to 900 of the family's 1533-position model. The record is from RNAcentral.
UAGGGAAUCUUCGGCAAUGGACGAAAGUCUGACCGAGCAACGCCGCGUGAGUGAAGAAGGUUUUCGGAUCGUAAAACUCUGUUGGUAGAGAAGAACGUUGGUGAGAGUGGAAAGCUCAUCAAGUGACGGUAACUACCCAGAAAGGGACGGCUAACUACGUGCCAGCAGCCGCGGUAAUACGUAGGUCCCCGAGCGUUGUCCGGAUUUAUUGGGCGUAAAGCGAGCGCAGGUGGUUUAUUAAGUCUGGUGUAAAAGGCAGUGGCUCAACCAUUGUAUGCAUUGGAAACUGGUAGACUUGAGUGCAGGAGAGGAGAGUGGAAUUCCAUGUGUAGCGGUGAAAUGCGUAGAUAUAUGGAGGAACACCGGUGGCGAAGGCGGCUCUCUGGCCUGUAACUGACACUGAGGCUCGAAAGCGUGGGGAGCAAACAGGAUUAGAUACCCUGGUAGUCCACGCCGUAAACGAUGAGUGCUAGAUGUAGGGAGCUAUAAGUUCUCUGUAUCGCAGCUAACGCAAUAAGCACUCCGCCUGGGGAGUACGACCGCAAGGUUGAAAC